Molecule: non-coding RNA, 45 nt
Organism: Schistosoma haematobium
Lineage: Eukaryota; Metazoa; Platyhelminthes; Trematoda; Strigeidida; Schistosomatidae
Source: Rfam
AUCCGGUUGAGGAGUCCCAAAUAGAACGAAACGCGCAUCCUGUAU